Molecule: ribosomal RNA, 305 nt
Filed under: uncultured bacterium
Lineage: Bacteria
Description: bacterial SSU rRNA
Rfam family: Bacterial small subunit ribosomal RNA
Source: RNAcentral
AUCCUACGGGGGGCAGCAGUAGGGAAUCUUCCACAAUGGGCGAAAGCCUGAUGGAGCAACGCCGCGUGGGUGAAGAAGGUCUUCGGAUCGUAAAACCCUGUUGUUAGAGAAGAAAGUGCGUGAGAGUAACUGUUCACAUUUCGACGGUAUCUAACCAGAAAGCCACGGCUAACUACGUGCCAGCAGCCGCGGUAAUACGUAGGCGGCAAGCGUUAUCCGGAUUUAUUGGGCGUAAAGGGAACGCAGGCGGUCUUUUAAGUCUGAUGUGAAAGCCUUCGGCUUAACCGGAGUAGUGCAUUGGAAAC